UAGCAAUACUUUGGUGGCGACCGGCGCACGGGUGCGUAACGCGUAUGCAACCUACCUUUAACAGGGGCAUAACACUGAGAAAUUGGUACUAAUUCCCCAUAACAUUCGAGAAGGCAUCUUCUUGGGUUAAAAACUCCGGUGGUUAAAGAUGGGCAUGCGUUGUAUUAGCUAGUUGGUGAGGUAACGGCUCACCAAGGCAACGAUACAUAGGGGGACUGAGAGGUUAACCCCCCACAUUGGUACUGAGACACGGACCAAACUCCUACGGAAGGCAGCAG
Molecule: ribosomal RNA, 278 nt
Filed under: uncultured bacterium
Lineage: Bacteria
Description: partial 16S ribosomal RNA
Rfam family: Bacterial small subunit ribosomal RNA
Source: RNAcentral